This 346-nucleotide unclassified non-coding RNA is filed under the name soil metagenome. Its description in RNAcentral is "partial contains 5.8S ribosomal RNA, internal transcribed spacer 2, and large subunit ribosomal RNA". The stretch from base 1 to 121 matches the Rfam family "5.8S ribosomal RNA", at positions 35 to 154 of the family's 154-position model. The record is from RNAcentral.
GAUGAAGAACGUAGCGAAUUGCGAUAUGUAAUGUGAAUUGCAGAUUUUCAGUGAAUCAUCGAAUCUUUGAACGCACAUUGCGCCCUCUGGUAUUCCGGAGGGCAUGCCUGUCCGAGCGUCAUUGCUGCCCUCAAGCACGGCUUGUGUGUUGGGCUCCGUCCCCCGAUCCCGGGGGACGGGCCCGAAAGGCAGCGGCGGCACCGCGUCCGGUCCUCGAGCGUAUGGGGCUUUGUCACCCGCUCUGUAGGCCCGGCCGGCGCUUGCCGAUCAACCAAAUUUUUAUCCAGGUUGACCUCGGAUCAGGUAGGGAUACCCGCUGAACUUAAGCAUAUCAAUAAGCGGAGGA